GAUGAACGCUGGCGGCGUGCCUAAUACAUGCAAGUCGAGCGAACAGACGAGGAGCUUGCUCCUCUGACGUUAGCGGCGGACGGGUGAGUAACACGUGGAUAACCUACCUAUAAGACUGGGAUAACUUCGGGAAACCGGAGCUAAUACCGGAUAAUAUAUUGAACCGCAUGGUUCAAUAGUGAAAGACGGUUUUGCUGUCACUUAUAGAUGGAUCCGCGCCGCAUUAGCUAGUUGGUAAGGUAACGGCUUACCAAGGCAACGAUGCGUAGCCGACCUGAGAGGGUGAUCGCCCACACGGGAACUGAGACACGGUCCAGACUCCUACGGGAGGAAGCAGUAGGGAAUCUUCCGCAAUGGGCGAAAGCCUGACGGAGCAACGCCGCGGGAGUGAUGAAGGUCUUCGGAUCGUAAAACUCUGUUAUUAGGGAAGAACAAAUGUGUAAGUAACUAUGCACGUCUUGACGGUACCUAAUCAGAAAGCCACGGCUAACUACGUG
RNAcentral lists this ribosomal RNA (497 nucleotides) under uncultured bacterium. Its description in RNAcentral is "partial 16S ribosomal RNA". It matches the Rfam family "Bacterial small subunit ribosomal RNA", at positions 28 to 507 of the family's 1533-position model. The record is from RNAcentral.